This 513-nucleotide ribosomal RNA is filed under the name uncultured bacterium. RNAcentral's name for it is "partial 16S ribosomal RNA". It matches the Rfam family "Bacterial small subunit ribosomal RNA", at positions 28 to 523 of the family's 1533-position model. The record is from RNAcentral.
GACGAACGCUGGCGGCGUGCCUAAUACAUGCAAGUUGAGCGCUGAAGGUUGGUACUUGUACCGACUGGAUGAGCAGCGAACGGGUGAGUAACGCGUGGGGAAUCUGCCUUUGAGCGGGGGACAACAUUUGGAAACGAAUGCUAAUACCGCAUAAAAACUUUAAACACAAGUUUUAAGUUUGAAAGAUGCAAUUGCAUCACUCAAAGAUGAUCCCGCGUUGUAUUAGCUAGUUGGUGAGGUAAAGGCUCACCAAGGCGAUGAUACAUAGCCGACCGGAGAGGGUGAUCGGCCACAUUGGGACUGAGACACGGCCCAAACUCCUACGGGAGGCAGCAGUAGGGAAUCUUCGGCAAUGGACGAAAGUCUGACCGAGCAACGCCGCGUGAGUGAAGAAGGUUUUCGGAUCGUAAAACUCUGUUGGUAGAGAGGAACGUUAGUGAGAGUGGAAAGCUCAUCAAGUGACGGUAACUACCCAGAAAGGGACGGCUAACUACGUGCCAGCCGCCGCCGUAA